CAGCCGCCGCGGGAAUACGUAGGGUGCAAGCGUUAAUCGGAAUUACUGGGCGUAAAGCGUGCGCAGGCGGUUUUGUAAGACAGAGGUGAAAUCCCCGGGCUCAACCUGGGAACUGCCUUUGUGACUGCAAGGCUAGAGUACGGCAGAGGGGGAUGGAAUUCCGCGUGUAGCAGUGAAAUGCGUAGAUAUGCGGAGGAACACCGAUGGCGAAGGCAAUCCCCUGGGCCUGUACUGACGCUCAUGCACGAAAGCGUGGGGGGCAAACAGGAUUAGAUACCCCGGUAGUCCCUGUCUCUUAUAC
RNAcentral lists this ribosomal RNA (301 nucleotides) under uncultured bacterium. Its description in RNAcentral is "partial 16S ribosomal RNA". It matches the Rfam family "Bacterial small subunit ribosomal RNA", at positions 509 to 807 of the family's 1533-position model. The record is from RNAcentral.